UUUCAUGGUUAUUUUAUUUAUGAGAAUUUUACAGAAAUCAUACAACACAUUUCUGACUCACUGUAGUCUGUGCUUCUUCACAAGGAUACUGUGCUGUUCUGUUAUAUAAUGGAAAAUAGACCAUCUACCGUACAGGUUUUGGGGAGACAAAGCGCCAUCAACUCUUCAACAUAUAGAUUUCUACCUGACCGUCAACCCCAGACGUCAGUGUUGAAACUGUAACCCUCUGUGUAUUUUUAAAACGCAUGCACACAAACCAAAAGUUGACCCCAAGACGGCUGAAGGGGUAGUAGUUAAUUUAACCUGCUCUGUGACAUCACAGACCAUGAAACCCCCUACUGUCAGUCAGUCACUCACGCAGGCAGUCAGUCACUCAGUCAGUUAGUCAAUCACUCAGUCACUCAUGCAGUCAGUCAGUCACUCAGUCAUUUAGUCAAUCACUCAGGGAGUCAGUCAGGCAGUCACUCAGGCAGUCAGUCACUCACGCAGUCAGUCACUCAAGCAGUCAGUCAGUCAGUCAGUCAGUCAGUCAGUAGUAAGAUUAACUGUGGUGCUGCUGAGUGAGCUGUUAUUACAUCAUGUAACCUCUCUGGGAGAGUUUAGUGGCUGAGUCAGACGGGCACAUUUAGGUUUUCCUUCUAAUAAAACAAGCAAGUUUACACCUCAAACAGAAGAUCAGAUGGUAACCUCUGAGCAGUGACUUUAGGGCACCGUGAGAAAGAGGUUGUUAUUGUGAAGGAGUUGACAUGGAGAUAUUAAGAGGAAGGCCACUGUUAUAUGUUAAAGCAGAAGCAACACUUUAUUACCACAGAAACAGAUUGCCCCCAAAAAAAAAAAAAAAACAGUGUCUUUACGGCGAGAGGGAUGGUGUGUGAUUAAAUGGAGACAAACACUCAGUAAAGAAAAGGAGAUGGGAGAGAUAAUGUGGCUAAAAAAAAGAAACAUCACAAGAUUGGGAUAUUUCGGUGUCUCCUCUCCAACUGCGAGGGGAGGUUGGGAGAGACACACUAAUAGCUAUCAUGUGGUGAGCCAAAGUUAACAUGUUCACCGCCUUAGCCCGGGUGUAAUCAGGUGUUUGUGAGUCCCUGGCGUCUCCUUUUGGCCUGAGUAACGCUCCAAGGGCCUUAGUUAGGCCUGGUCCCAGGGCUCUGGUGGCAAGGAAUAUCAGAGGGCUGUCAGAGAAACAUUUCAGCUACGAUCUCCUAAACACACUUAGAUCUCAGAGAAAUAACACACACACACACACCAAGGCUACACAGGUGUUAACAGAGUGGGGGUUUUGUAUUUGUUGCACAUCCUUGAGAGAGAUGGAGCGAUUGAAUCUGGUAGAAAGAGACUGGAAAAAAGGAAACCGUUUGAGAAAAGGGAGGGGGAUGUGUACAAGAGGAAUAUCGAGAUUAGUGAGCGACCAGAGAAACAUGGCCAAUUCUUUUUUUUAUAUAUAUUUUUUUAUAUUGUGCCCCUGAAAACAUCUGUGCUUCGAUUUAAAAAAUAAUUUAAGGCUUCUUGACAGUACAUAGCAAAUUAAACUUCUAAAUGCAUUUUACGUACAUAUUCAUUUGAAUAGAAAUGAUUUUGGCAAAGAAACAAAGACUUUAAAAGGACAGUCCCGAUAAAUAAAAAAUAAAUCAAUAUAAUUCUCCUUCACUGAAACAAAGACCCAUCACAAAUGUGGAAGGCUUGCAUUCAAGUGAAAACGGGAUACAGAGAUGCUACGUAUAUCUGUGAUAUAUAUAUAUAUACCUACUUCCUGUCGUAAGGUGUCAUGAGGUCAGCCCAGUAUGCUCCACAAUGGGAGGUUGUAAAGUGAACCGGCUACCUCUCUCUCUAUGGUCUUUAACAUGUCUGCUCUCCUCUCCAAAGUUUGGGAAAUGUCUCUGACAUAGCCUGGGUACCAGUCUGUUUAGCUAACAUUCCACUCCUUGCACUGUGCGUCAUUGCGAAAGGAUCUUAGCUAAACAAGCUAUCUCUGACAUAGCCUGGGUACCAGUCUGUUUAGCUAACAUUCCACUCCUUGCACUGUGCGUCAUUGCGAAAGGAUCUUAGCUAAACAAGCUAUCUCUGACAUAGCUUGGGUACCAGUCUGUUUAGCUAACAUUCCACUCCUUGCACUGUGCGUCAUUGCGAAAGGAUCUUAGCUAAACAAGCUAUCUCUGACAUAGCCUGGGUACCAGUCUGUUUAGCUAACAUUCCACUCCUUGCACUGUGCGUC
Molecule: long non-coding RNA, 2212 nt
Organism: Oncorhynchus tshawytscha (Chinook salmon)
Lineage: Eukaryota; Metazoa; Chordata; Actinopteri; Salmoniformes; Salmonidae
Source: Ensembl